GCUGGGCGUGGUGGCGCACGCCUGUAAUCCCAGCUACUCUGGAGGUUGAGGCAGGAGAAUUGCUUGAGCCCAGGAGACGGAGGUUGCAGUGAGCCAAGAUCAUGCCACUGUACUCCAGCUUGGCCGACAGAGUGAGACUCUGUCUCAA
RNAcentral lists this non-coding RNA (148 nucleotides) under Pan troglodytes (chimpanzee). Lineage: Eukaryota; Metazoa; Chordata; Mammalia; Primates; Hominidae. The record is from Rfam by way of RNAcentral.